AUGCAACGCGAAACCUUACCUACGCUUGACAUGUCAGGAACCUGAAGAGAUUGGGGUGCCGAAGGAGCCUGAACACAGGUGCUGCAUGGCUGUCGUCAGCUCGUGUCGUGAGAUGUCGGGUUAAGUCCCGCAACGAGCGCAACCCUUAUCAUUAGUUGCUACGCAAGGGCACUCUAAUGAGACUGCCGGUGACAAACCGGAGGAAGUGGGGAUGACGUCAAGUCCUCAUGGCCCUUAUGCGUAGGGCUUCACACGUCAUACAAUGGUCGGUACAGAGGGUUGCCAACCCGCGAGGGGGAGCCAAUCCCAUAAAGCCGAUCGUAGUCCGGAUUGCAGUCUGCAACUCGACUGCAUGAAGUCGGAAUCGCUAGUAAUCGCGGAUCAGCAUGUCGCGGUGAAUACGUUCCCGGGUCUU
RNAcentral lists this ribosomal RNA (415 nucleotides) under uncultured Derxia sp. Its description in RNAcentral is "bacterial SSU rRNA". It matches the Rfam family "Bacterial small subunit ribosomal RNA", at positions 954 to 1382 of the family's 1533-position model. The record is from RNAcentral. Lineage: Bacteria; Pseudomonadati; Pseudomonadota; Betaproteobacteria; Burkholderiales; Alcaligenaceae.